RNAcentral lists this ribosomal RNA (324 nucleotides) under uncultured eukaryote. RNAcentral's name for it is "partial 18S ribosomal RNA". It matches the Rfam family "Eukaryotic small subunit ribosomal RNA", at positions 1470 to 1796 of the family's 1831-position model. The record is from RNAcentral.
CCCCUAGAUGUUCUGGGCUGCACGCGCGCUACACUGAAGCUAUCAACACGUUUUCCCUCCCUGAGAAGGGCGGGUAACCUUUUGAAUCAGCUUCGUGGUAGGGAUCGGGGCUUGCAAUUGUUCCCCGUGAACCAGGAAUUCCUAGUAGACGCGAGUCAUAAGCUCGCAUCGAUUAAGUCCCUGCCCUUUGUACACACCGCCCGUCGCUACUACCGAUUGAACGUUUUAGUGAGGCAUUUGGACCGACGCAUCUCAGUUUAACCGCUGGUUUGUGUUGGAAAGACUUCCAAACUUGAGCGUUUAGAGGAAGUAAAAGUCGUAACA